AGCCGAAACGGGCCCUGGCCCGUCGCGCGGGAAUGGCCUCCCGCCCCUGAUGAGGCAGGCCGUA
Molecule: non-coding RNA, 64 nt
Filed under: Streptomyces malaysiensis
Lineage: Bacteria; Bacillati; Actinomycetota; Actinomycetes; Kitasatosporales; Streptomycetaceae
Also listed under: 1 other name
Source: RNAcentral